UACGGGGGGAGCAAGCGUUGUUCGGAUUUACUGGGCGUAAAGGGCGCGUAGGCGGCCACCGCAAGUCAAUUGUGAAAUCUCCGGGCUUAACCCGGAAAGGUCAACUGAUACUGCGGGGCUAGAGUGCGGAAGGGGCAACUGGAAUUCUCGGUGUAGCGGUGAAAUGCGUAGAUAUCGAGAGGAACACCUGCGGCGAAGGCGGGUUGCUGGGCCGACACUGACGCUGAUGCGCGAAAGCCAGGGGAGCGAACGGG
This 254-nucleotide ribosomal RNA is filed under the name uncultured bacterium. RNAcentral's name for it is "partial 16S ribosomal RNA". It matches the Rfam family "Bacterial small subunit ribosomal RNA", at positions 524 to 776 of the family's 1533-position model. The record is from RNAcentral.